Rhinopithecus roxellana (golden snub-nosed monkey) is the source of this 305-nucleotide long non-coding RNA. RefSeq lists it as uncharacterized. The record is from RefSeq and is a predicted model, not a curated record. The transcript is spliced from 2 exons. NCBI's taxonomy places the organism in Eukaryota, Metazoa, Chordata, Mammalia, Primates, Cercopithecidae.
GGGUACCUGCGUCGAGCUCUGCACAGGUGACUGGGACUGCAAUCCCGGAGAGCACUGUGUCAGCAACUGGGUGUGGUCAUGAGUGUGUUGCAGAGUAAGCACAGAUGAAGAGUUAUCUUAAGGAUCAUCUUUCUCUAAGAUAAGCAUCCCUUCCUGGAGUUCCUAUCUUCCAAGAUGUGACUGUCUGGAGUUUCUUGACUAGGACGAUGGAUGAAAAUGGCGAGCCUGUGGAUAGGGACUACAGGGCAUAUGGGAGGCAGGGAAGAGGGGUUGUUUCUUUUAAUAAAUCCUCAUUGUUAAAAGCA